This 220-nucleotide long non-coding RNA is filed under the name Salvia miltiorrhiza (redroot sage). RNAcentral describes it as "long non-coding RNA (SMIL_LNC012046)". The record is from RNAcentral. Lineage: Eukaryota; Viridiplantae; Streptophyta; Magnoliopsida; Lamiales; Lamiaceae.
AAGGUGUCUUCUUCCCCUCCGGAUUUCAGACGAUGGUUUGCUGCGGUGAACUUGGAUGGUUAGUUGUUGUUCUUGAGGCUAUCUGUUUUUGGGAUUCUGAGAUACGUUUAUUUUUCUUUUUUCUUCCCCCUUGUUAAAUUUUUUGUACUCUGUUUUUACUUUGGGUACUGCUGGUACCUCAUUAUAUAUAUCUAAUCUCUUUUGCCUGAUCAAAAAAAAA